RNAcentral lists this ribosomal RNA (530 nucleotides) under uncultured bacterium. RNAcentral's name for it is "bacterial LSU rRNA". It matches the Rfam family "Bacterial large subunit ribosomal RNA", at positions 546 to 1079 of the family's 2925-position model. The record is from RNAcentral.
UAUCCUGAAACCGCAUGCUUACAAAAAGUCGGAGCCUCGAAAGGGGUGACGGCGUACCUUUUGUAUAAUGGGUCAGCGACUUACAUUCAGUGGCGAGCUUAACCGAAUAGGGGAGGCGUAGAGAAAUCGAGUCCGAAUAGGGCGUCCUAGUCGCUGGGUGUAGACCCGAAACCAAGUGAUCUAUCCAUGGCCAGGAUGAAGGUGCCGUAACAGGUACUGGAGGUCCGAACCGACUGGUGUUGCAAAACCAGCGGAUGAGCUGUGGAUAGGGGUGAAAGGCUAAACAAACUUGGAAAUAGCUGGUUCUCUCCGAAAACUAUUUAGGUAGUGCCUCAAGUAUUACCUGCGGGGUAGAGCACUGUUUUGGCUAGGGGGUCAUGGCGACUUACCAAACCAAGGCAAACUCCGAAUACUGCAGAGUACAGCUUGGGAGACAGAGCACCGGGUGCUAACGUCCGGACUCAAGAGGGAAACAACCCAGACCGCCAGCUAAGGUCCCUAAAAAUUGGCUAAGUGGGAAACGAAGUGGG